This 240-nucleotide long non-coding RNA is filed under the name Carica papaya (papaya). Its description in RNAcentral is "long non-coding RNA (CPAP_LNC013350)". The record is from RNAcentral. Lineage: Eukaryota; Viridiplantae; Streptophyta; Magnoliopsida; Brassicales; Caricaceae.
AUAGUCCAGAUCAGAUUGCGAUGAACGGUUCAGAUUCACUCCCUAUUUAAUCGCGAUCGGAUGACUCAAAUCAAACGCAAUGGACGACCCUGAUUAAAAGGGGACAGAUAUAAACAACCAUCUUAAUACCAAACCCUAACAUUAGCCGCCAGACCCCCUGCCGGAAAAGAAGACCCAGCCGCCCAGAAGGAAGCCAACCGCCGCCGCCGACACACUGGAGUCACUUUCAACCGCCAAAAG